AGCAGCCGCGGUAAUUCCAGCUCCAAUAGCGUAUAUUAAAGUUGUUGCAGUUAAAAAAGCUCGUAGUUGAAUUUCGGGAUUGACGUGAUGGUCGUGCCUUACGGGGUAUGAACUGUCGCAGUUGAUUUCUCACCUUCUGGAGAAGCUCGAUGUCCUUAAUUGGGUGUCUUGCGGAACCAGGACCUUUACCUUGAAAAAAUUAGAGUGUUUAAAGCAGGCAUUUUGCUCGAAUACAUUAGCAUGGAAUAAUAGAAUAGGACGGCAUGGUUCUAUUUUGUUGGUUUCUAGGAUCACCGUAAUGAUUAAUAGGGAUAGUUGGGGGGCAUUAGUAUUCAAUUGUCAGAGGUGAAAUUCUUGGAUUUAUUGAAGACUAACUACUGCGAAAGCAUUUGCCAAGGAUGUUUU
Molecule: ribosomal RNA, 405 nt
Filed under: uncultured Entrophospora
Lineage: Eukaryota; Fungi; Glomeromycota; Glomeromycetes; Entrophosporales; Entrophosporaceae
Description: SSU rRNA
Rfam family: Eukaryotic small subunit ribosomal RNA
Source: RNAcentral